Molecule: transfer RNA, 63 nt
Filed under: Salmo salar (Atlantic salmon)
Lineage: Eukaryota; Metazoa; Chordata; Actinopteri; Salmoniformes; Salmonidae
Rfam family: tRNA
About the family: Transfer RNA (tRNA) molecules are approximately 80 nucleotides in length.
Source: Rfam by way of RNAcentral
CCCUAGUCAGUUGGUAGAGCAUGGUGUUUACAACGCCAGGGUUGUGGGUUCGAUUCCCACGGG